This is a long non-coding RNA of Gasterosteus aculeatus aculeatus (three-spined stickleback), 3055 nucleotides long. Lineage: Eukaryota; Metazoa; Chordata; Actinopteri; Perciformes; Gasterosteidae. The record is from Ensembl.
GGACGAGUUAGAGCCAGAAGGAGACUGUGGAGAGAGAUUGAGAGCUGCCAGCCUCGGCACAUCGGAGAGGACACACGUCUGUAUGCCUGACACGCCGGUCUUCUAGGAGAUGGCGGUGUGGAAUGGUGGACGGGUCUCUGGACGUCCCAAGUCAGAGGACACACGGACACACUCACACCCACAUUCCAGCCUGUGGCCGAGGGAACAGCAGCUCAGGGACAUUUACCUACACACACGUGCUGCUCCUCUGCUUCCUGAUUGGCCGAGGUGCGUCGGCUGGCGAUGGAGCAGUAGGAGACCCGGGUUGAUGAGACGCUGAGGAGGACGAGAGGUCAGUGCUCCCUCUAGAGGUGGAGAUCUGGGACAGCGGAGGACCGGGGCCCUGCGGUCCUGCUGGACUGAGGAGCUCGCCGCCGCUGCCCCAAGACGCCGUGGGGGUCCAGUUCAGGCCGUCAGACUCAUGGACACGGAGGGGGCGGCUUAUGUGGAGCCUUGAGGAAAUGAGUGCUCUGUAAUUCUAAACCCAAGCACAAAGAAGUCGAUGGCUCCAUGAUGAUGGAGAGGGAUACAGACAGGACACACAGAACAGAACCACUCGGGUUUUACACCUCAUGAACUUGUUUAAUACUUUGUAAAAAACAAAAGAAGAACAGCGUCGUUGGUGAAGAGGGAGACAGGAAACAAGACCAAUAAACAGUGUGUGGGUUCUUUCAGGAUGAAGAGUAAAUAAUUAAAGAAGAUUCUAGAUGGACCAGGGAAAGGUUUUUUUCUCUUUUUUCAGGAAACAACCGAACAAACGCACGGAAGAACAGGGCCACUCCUUCUGAGUGCGUUUCCCCGUGUUGAGGGAACCAAAGCAGCCACAUCCGCCAACAAGCCGGCAGUCAUCCAUGAACCGGCGGGCGCCGGUUUCAAGGCUGCCUGGUUGAAAACAGCGGGACGGGCUCUGUGUCAAUAGGUCAAAAUGCCGCCCCGACACCUAGUCUCUACGCAUUGGUUGAUUAGUCAGUCACAGCCUGUAUCCCAUAGCAACAAACAAAAGAAACGCAUGUUUAAGACAGCUACUCAUUUCAAAAUGUAACAAAGAUGGAAACAUCUGCGACUCAACGGAAUCGCUUCCUCGCGCCUCUAAAAUGAUCCUCACGCAGUAAGAAAAAAAGAGCUUCACAUCCUUUUUCAAACGGAGAAACAGAGUUCUUUCUCCAGGUCCGUGGUGCUGAGCGUUUGCCGAGGUGAAGCAGUGGAGGAGGCCGGCUUUGUGUGGAUGAAGCUUCAGGUCAACACCUCAGCUUCUCCUCUGUGCAUUCGAUUCGCUCAACAAACCAAACAAACAGCGCUCAACACAUCAGCACCAGAGCAACGGGAUCGGCCAAUCAAACGGAUUCACUACACACGUUCAUGGAAGCAUACACAUGUAGCCACACACACACACACACACACACACACGCACACACACUACAAUAAAUGCUCAAAAUAGCAUCCGCCAACCACCAGGUGGAGCUAAAACAUCAUCAACGUCUGUUUAUCAUCCACUAAGCUCAAAGCGCAUUGGCGCAGCUGGAGGAAUGGGAAUCCUGAAUGUUCUCACUGCCAAUUCAAGUCAACUUGUAACAGAGUUAAUUAAAACAGAACAACAAUGUGCAACUGUUUACCACAAUAUGAAUCAACAAGUUGCAUGUCCUUCGGCUUUGAUUGGUAUCUGCUCAGCGGAGUUCCACACUGGUAUUCUUCUUCCCUCCAGCACUCGACUGGUUGUGUAGUCGUUCCAAUCUCCAGCUUAGACAUUCAGAACAGGAAGCUCCACAGAAAUGUAGCGCGUCCUGAAGUCAGCCUCCUCCCUGAGGGGGGAGCGACUGACCUGUCUGAGGACAGCGGGUCAGGAGGCCCCAUCAGGCUGUUCUUUACCAGCCUCCACCAGAGAGAGGCGGCCACACAAAAACCUACACCACCACCAAAGUCUUUAGGUUAGACCACCGUACUGACACGUUAAACAAAGCCACCUGUCUGACAGGCCAUCUAACGGUCCGCCUCCGAGUCCGCAUCACAUGGGGGGAGGCCACGGCUGUGAGAAGUAUUUGGACUAUCUGCAGGGCAGGAAGCGCGUUGCUCGUCGUGGUCGAAGCAGCUGCUUUCGUUGCCUAAGUGCUUUCUGAAAUACAAAAACAAACAGUGGCUGCGUCUGGAGGAGCACCAACACUGAUCACACACCGCCAGAAUGCACAAGCACAGCUGGUGUUCCUCUCCCAUCGGAGGGAACGAUAAAAGAAAAGAAAAAGAAAGGGGGACUUCUACAUCUUCAGCACACCUGUUGGAUGGGGAAUGGCUGACGGAUUUGUCUGAGUACUUGCAUAAGGUUUGCAUUGAUGUAAACGUGCACGUCUUAAACUAUAUUUGUUAUUUAGCACCUGGUAGAGGACAGCUGUGCCUCUUUCCCGUAGAAUGACACUGCAUGUACGAUGGCUAGUGACUAAAUACACCUCAGAACAGAAGAGCUUUUAAAUACUAAAUAAGCACGUCAGAAAUCUUUGUGCACGCCAGCACUGCUCCUCUCUCAGCGUGUCGACUAAUUCAGAAUAGAUUUCUUUAUGUGCUACUUGCACUUGACUUUCCUCUGCGAUGCUCCGAUUCAACCGGCCAAAGUGUUCACUCACAGUAAAUGUCAGUCAGCCAGCCAAUGGGUUACAGAGAGAGGCCUGGAACAUCGGCAGAGGUCGGUGCGGUCCGGCCCCGGGCUCCUUGAUGACCUCACCUAAGAGGCGAGUCCCAUGUGGAACGGACAGCCAAAACAAACAGCUUUCAGAUGCGCUGGUUGGAGCCACACGUUGCACAUGGACACGAGUGUGAACAGGCAUCUGUUAGCAGGACUCCCCGGACCCUCUUUUGGAUUGUUCACAUCUACUGUCCAUCCACAAGCAUCGGGCCAAUGCACACUGCGUGCAGGUAGUAGCUGUAGGGUUUACAUUAUUCCGCAUUGUAAUCUUUUAUUUACAUUAACGGAACACCACCUGCAAGUGGCUCAAUCCCUGGAUCCCUGUCUGUCAAGCCAGACGCAGCC